This 835-nucleotide long non-coding RNA is filed under the name Oreochromis niloticus (Nile tilapia). RNAcentral's name for it is "lncRNA (ENSONIG00000042850.1)". The record is from RNAcentral. Lineage: Eukaryota; Metazoa; Chordata; Actinopteri; Cichliformes; Cichlidae.
UUAAAUUACGUUUGGGGAGUUAUUUAAGAAAAUGUAAUCUAAACAGGGAAGCACCGGAAAAUGAACCAAAUAUUUUAGAAAAAAAUACCAGACCAAAUACAUAAAUAACUACAAAAAACAACGUAUAUUUUUUUUUUAAAUUAUUAUUAUUAUUUAAAUCACGGUAGGAAGAAGCUAACGAGCAUUAUGCUAAUUAUGCGCAUUAAGCUCAGGUAAGUGUGUUAAAGACGAGCCUACGUAAUCAGGGGAAGAGCGUCAGGUGUGUCGAUGUUGCUGUCUUCUAUGAGUUGAUGCUCCUGCUGACAAAUGGCGGAUAGAAGCAGGUAGCAGCAUCCCGUGACACCUGGGAGCAGGAGGGAGACGAGAAGCCGCUCGGCGCCGGUUCCUAUUAAUAAAAACGAGGCAUCAAACGGCUUCUCGCUGAGCGGAGACGUGUUUACAAAAGCUGUCGGAGGAGAGAGAUGGAGCCCAAACCACCGAACCGUUGGGGGAUUCGUUUGCUCCUGUCUGAAUAAUGCUGCCUCCUAAUGUAGCAAGCAAAAACAACGGGGAGAUCCUAGAAGAACAUGGCAAGCACGUGUUCGUCGAUGCUGCUAGUCCCAGUCACCGGUCUCAAGAACAGUCCCGCUACCGCCUCCGUGUCCACGGCGCGCAGGGUGCUCAGGACCACGCGAAGCUUGCCGGACCGGCUCGCGUUCCCCCGGUACACCGUCCCCACGUGCUCAUAGAGCGCGCGCUCAGCCUCCCUCUGAAGCGCGUGGAUGUACUCCUGACACUCCAGCUCAGGCACUUUAACAAGGCGGACACAGACAGGGAGACAUGUUGGGCUGUUUAA